Molecule: long non-coding RNA, 965 nt
Filed under: Macaca nemestrina (pig-tailed macaque)
Lineage: Eukaryota; Metazoa; Chordata; Mammalia; Primates; Cercopithecidae
Description: lncRNA (ENSMNEG00000045769.1)
Source: RNAcentral
UCUCUCUCCAGGCCAUGGAUUCCACCCAGAACUGACAUCCUGGCCUCCAGGCUUCAGGCCAUUAUUGGCUUGAAGGUGGGGCUUCACCAGGGACCCUCCCCUUCCUGCCUAGUAGCCUAUCUGCCUCCUGGGCUGACGUGUCAGCCAGUGCACCCAGGAUGUUCGUGCUGAGGCACCUGCGGACCCGUGCGGGGCUGCCCUCAGGCCCCACGCAGCCCCCCUCCCGUACUCGUUGACGUCCAAAGUCUGGAGGAGGCCGAGGGUUCAGGGCACUGGCAUGCCAGUGCCACCCCAAGCAUGGACACACCCGGCCUGGUUGCAGGAGCUCCCAGGCUCGGCCACAACUUUGCUCCCACCCGGAGUGGGUGCCAGGAGCGGGGAGAGGCCAGGCCCUGGGAGCAGGAACUUUCAAGCCUGCAGAGACAAGGGACUUCCUGGGCCCCGAGAGUGCAGCGAUGCCUGGGUCCUGGGCCGUGGCUGGGUGGCUGCAGCUGCACCUGGAGUGCGGGGCUCCUGGAGUGUCCCGCUCCUGCCCCACUGACUCCGUACAGUGCAGGGCUCCCCACUGUUGCCGGCCCCUGCUGGCUCCGCGAAGUAUGCAGCCCUGGCCGCGCCUACCCCGCUGCAGUGGAUGUCUUUGCAGCAGCCCCUCCAGAUGGGCCGCCGCUGCCAUCAGUAGUAUUUGGGGAUUCACCCAGCAUUCCCUAGAGAGAAGGCUUCUCCUCUCUCAUGGUCGCCAGGACCAGCUGGAACAACCAGUGCUCUGGCUGAAGACCUCUACAGGUAGACAGGCGGCAAGAUACUGCUGGGGCCCACUUUCUUCAUCAUUUUCUGGUGAUGGUUUACUUCAUGUAGAUAUGGACUUUGAUUUUGCUUCUGCAGUUCUCAAAAUUCUAGGAUACAUUUUGUUCAAAACUAAAAUGAAACUUACAAAAAUAUCUUCAGAAAAGAAAUAUAAGACCUGA